CGUACACUCCUACGGGAGGCAGCAGUGGGGAAUAUUGGACAAUGGGCGCAAGCCUGAUCCAGCCAUGCCGCGUGAGUGAUGAAGGCCCUAGGGUUGUAAAGCUCUUUCACCGGUGAAGAUAAUGACGGUAACCGGAGAAGAAGCCCCGGCUAACUUCGUGCCAGCAGCCGCGGUAAUACGAAGGGGGCUAGCGUUGUUCGGAUUUACUGGGCGUAAAGCGCACGUAGGCGGACUAUUAAGUCAGGGGUGAAAUCCCGGGGCUCAACCCCGGAACUGCCUUUGAUACUGGUAGUCUUGAGUUCGAGAGAGGUGAGUGGAAUUCCGAGUGUAGAGGUGAAAUUCGUAGAUAUUCGGAGGAACACCAGUGGCGUAGGCGGCUCACUGGCUCGAUACUGACGCUGAGGUGCGAAAGCGUGGGGAGCAAACAGGAUUAGAUACCCCAGUAGUCCCA
Molecule: ribosomal RNA, 451 nt
Filed under: uncultured organism
Description: partial 16S ribosomal RNA
Rfam family: Bacterial small subunit ribosomal RNA
Source: RNAcentral